Molecule: long non-coding RNA, 756 nt
Filed under: Marmota monax (woodchuck)
Lineage: Eukaryota; Metazoa; Chordata; Mammalia; Rodentia; Sciuridae
Source: RNAcentral
AGCCUCCUAAGCCACUGAGAUUACAGGCAUGCACCACCAUGCCCAGCUCUUGGGAAUGAUGUUGACCAAAUUAUAUGGUUAUAUUGUGUGUGCAUACAAAUAUGUAACAACAAAUUCCACCGUUAUAUAUAAUGAUCAUGCACCAACAAAAAUAUGGAAAAAAAGGAUUUCUGUUCUUCAAAAGACAUCAUAUGCAGUACAGAAAGGUGGGGAAGGGAGAGGAGGAUAGCUGUACAAUGCAGAAACCUGACAACACUCCCUCAGUCAGGAGAUCAAGGUCAACAUCAGCAGUGAUAAACCACAUUGAUAGUAUGUAUCCGGAUAUGAUAUGAUGCUUCACCUGUGUGGUCUUCCACCCCCAUGAGAGAAGUAUGGGACAAAUUCUAGUAGAGGAGCUUUCUACAAAACACCUGAUCACCACCCUUCAAAACUGUCAAUGUUGCCAAAGAUAAGGAAAGUCUAAGAAACUGUCACAGCCAAGAGAAGCCUAAAGAGAAAUGAUGAUGGAAUGUAAUGAGGUGUCCUGCUUGGGCUACUCCAACAGAAAAAAGGAAAUAUGAAUAAAGUAUGAACUUUAGUUAAUAGUAAUACAUCAAUAUUGGUUCAUUAGUUGUGACAAAUGGACCACACUGACGCUAAUAAUAGGGAAGGCUGGGUGUGAGGUAUGUGGGAAAUAUCUGUAUUGUAUUCUCGAUUUUUCUGUAAAUGUCAAACUGUUCUGAAAAAAAAAAAACACUAUAAAGUAAGUGAAAAUAU